This is a long non-coding RNA of Drosophila albomicans, 801 nucleotides long. RefSeq lists it as uncharacterized. The transcript is spliced from 3 exons. Lineage: Eukaryota; Metazoa; Arthropoda; Insecta; Diptera; Drosophilidae. The record is from RefSeq and is a predicted model, not a curated record.
UUUAAAAAGCAGCACUGUAUUAUUUAGCAUAUUUACACAUGUCGAAGCAAUUAAAUCGGGCAACAACUAACAUUUCAGCCCAUGGCUUAUUAGGCGCAUUCAAAUCAAGAAAGAAAACGAAGGAGAGAGAUGAAAUAGAGAUGGGAAGAGGAAGUGCAUAAGAGUGAGAGAAGGAGAUGGAGAGCAAGACGGAAAGGGAGAGCGAGAGGGAGAGGGAGACCAACCCAGGUUGCUGAACAACGACGACGACGACGACACACAUGAGGAGGGCCAGUUAAAUGACGGCACACAUUAAACCGAACUGAACUGAACCCAAGUUGGCCCUGUGGUCGUUGGUCGUUGUUGGUCGUACUUUGAGCUUGGGCACCAACAAGUUGAGCUACAGCAACAAACAGUCUCAAGUGGAAGUGGAGAAAGAAGCCCAAAAACAACAGACGAAAAUGAAGACGAAGACGAAGACAACGACAAGAGACAAGCAACAGAUAAAAAGGGUGGUUGCUUUCUUGCUUGGCAGAGUGCGAGUGUGACGAGGAUGGAGCGUGGGAAGGAGAGGAGGGGGAAGCAAAAGUCGGCAAAUUGCGGCACAGUGCGCAGUGCAUAAAGCGUAAAAAUGAGCCAAAAUAAAUAAAAGCCGCAGCAACAACAACCGCAACGAAAACGCCGACGUCGACGUCCGUUUGAUUGAUUGGCGACAGCGGCGGAAGCAGUAGCAGCAGCAGCGACCGCAACACCAAAGCCAAAAACAACAACAGCAAAAAGCCGCGGCGCCGUGACGUCACAAAAUGGCUUUUGCGUAAGGUC